This 2743-nucleotide ribosomal RNA is filed under the name human gut metagenome. RNAcentral's name for it is "eukaryotic LSU rRNA". The stretch from base 289 to 2743 matches the Rfam family "Eukaryotic large subunit ribosomal RNA", at positions 1 to 2573 of the family's 3401-position model. The record is from RNAcentral.
ACUCUAUACGAUGGAUAUCUUGGCUCUUGAAUCGAUGAAGAACGCAGCGAAAUGCGAUAAGUAAUGCGAAUUGCAGAACUCUGUGAGUCAUCAAAUCUUUGAACGCAUAUUGCACUUCCUUUUGGGAGUAUACUUGUUUGAGUGUAGUUAAAGGUUUCUAUCUAUAAUAGAUGAAUAUUGGAGUUAGUAUACUAUACUUUCUCUAAAAUGAAUAUAUUCGUAUAUAAGAAUAGUAUUUGAGGUAGUUGCCACAAGUACUAUAUUAUAUAAGAAUAUAUUUAAUAAGAUCUAUCUCAAAUCAAGUAAGAUUACCUGCUGAAUUGAAGCAUCUAAGUAAGCAGAGGAAAAGAAAAUAACAAUGAUUCUCUUAGUAACGGCGAGUGAAUAGGGAAUAGCCCAAGCUUAAAUCAGCUUUGCUGAGUUGUAGUGUGUAGAAUCUAACUUUUGUUCAGUGUUAAUAUCAUAUAAUUUGGUUGGAAAACCAAGUAAUAGAAGGUGAUAACCCUGUAAUAUGAUAUGACUGAAUGUUGGAUUCUUGGAGUCGAGUUGUUUGGGAAUGCAACUCGAAGUGGGUGGUGAACUCCAUCUAAGGCUAAAUAUGUUCAAGAGACCGAUAGUGAACAAGUACCGUGAGGGAAAGAUGAAAAGAACUUUGAGAAAAGAGUGAAAUAGUACUUGAAAUCGUAUAGAGGUUAAGCAGAGUUGGUGGAUAUUGUAUUUGAAUGUACUAUAAUCAAUUGAUUAUGGCUUAUUCUUAUACAUAGUAUAAUUUGUGUGUGAAUUGGUUAAUAUUAAAACGAAUAUGCGCAUAAAUGAUAUAAAUCCUACAUCUCUGUCCCGUCUUGAAACACGGACCAAGGAGUCUAUCCUGUAUGCAAGUUGUAUGGUGUAAAACCAAUAAGCGUAAUGAAAGUAAGAGGUGUGAAAGUUGUAAAAGUGUCAACACCUGCCGAUCUAAAUUCUUUGAUGAAAGAUUCGAGUAUGAGCAUAUAGGGUGGGACCCGAAAGAUGGUGAACUAUGCCUGAAUAGGACGAAGCCAGGGGAAACUCUGGUGGAGGUUCGAGUGGAUUCUAACGUGCAAAUUGAUCUUUAAAUUUGGGUAUAGGGGCGAAAGACUAAUCGAACCAUCUAGUAGCUGGUUCAUUCCGAAAUUUCCCUCAGGAUAGCUGCAACUUAUGAAAUAGUUUUAUGAGGUAAAGCGAAUGAUUAGAGGUUUCUGGGAUGGAAUAUCCUGGACCUAUUCUCAAACUUUCAAUGGGUAAGAAAAGUGUGAUGUUUAAUUAAUCAUACUAUUUGAAUAUGAGUUGCAAGUGGGCCAUUCCGGGUAAGCUGGACUGGCAAUGCGGGAUCAACCGAACGCUAUGUUACGGCGCCAGAUUGUUCGCUCAGUUGGAUGUAAAAGGUGUUAGUUCAUCUAGACAGCAGGACGGUGGCCAUGGAAGUCGGAAUCCGCUAAGGAGUGUGUAACAACUCACCUGCCGAAUGAAGUAGCCCUGAAAAUGGAUGGCGCUUAAGCGAACAGCCUAUACAUAGCCAUUAUUGUUAGGAUUAUACAAUAAUGAGUAGGAAUGCGUGAUGAAUGUUGUGAAGUAUGAUGUGUGAACAUGUAUGGAACAUUCAUUAGUGCAGAUCUUGGUGGAAGUAGCAAAUAUUCAAAUGAGAUCUUUGAAGACUGAAGUGGAGAAAGGUUCCAUAGGAAUAGUGAUUAUCUAUGGGUUAGUCGAUCCUAAGAGAUAGGUGAAAUCCAUUGAAAAGUCAAUUUCGAUUGACAUUUAUCGAAAGGGAAUCAGGUUAAUAUUCCUGAACCAAAGAGAAGGGUAAACGGUAACGUAUAGGGGUCUCAAGACAUUGAUGUUAUUCCCAGGAAGAGUUUUCUUUUCUUGUUAACAAAUGGGCAGUGCUUGGAAUCGAUUCAGUCGGCGAUAAGCAUUGUUAUUUGGUAAAGUACUACUAUUUUGUGUAGUAUCUGGUGCAAUGACAUGAAUCCUUGAAAAUUGAGACUUUUGUUUUCCCGAAGCUUUGGUCGUACUAAUAACCGCAUCAGGUCUCCAAGGUGAAUAGCCUCUAGUUAAUAGAAUAAUGUAGAUAAGGGAAGUCGGCAAAUUAGAUCCGUAACUUCGGGAUAAGGAUUGGCUCUGAGGGCUAAGUGGGUUUAAGGUGUUAAUAGUAUAAGUUUGAUAUGGGAUUGAGUGUUUUGAGUUGCUUCGGUGAUUUGAAAUAUUUGGUUCUAAUGUCUUAGUUGUCUAUUUUCAUCUACCACUAUGAAUAGCUAACUCAGAACUGGUACGGACAAGGGGAAUCCGACUGUUUAAUUAAAACAAAGCAUUGUGAUGGUGUGAAAGAUAUGUUGACACAAUGUGAAUUCUGCCCAGUGCUCUGAAUGUGAAAGUGGCGUAAUUCAAGCAAGCGCGGGUAAACGGCGGGAGUAACUAUGACUCUCUUAAGGUAGCCAAAUGCCUCGUCAUCUAAUUAGUGACGCGCAUGAAUGGAUUAAUGAGAUUCCCACUGUCCCUAUCUACUAUCUAGCGAAACCACAGCCAAGGGAACGGGCUUGGAAAUAUCAGCGGGGAAAGAAGACCCUGUUGAGCUUGACUCUAGUUUAACAUUGUGAAAUGACUUUAGAGGUGUAGCAUAGGUGGGAGGAGGUAACUCCGAUCCUGAAAUACCACUACUCUGAAUGUUGUUUUACUUAUUCCAUGAAAGAGGAUACUUACUUAAUUGUAAGUGUUAUGAUGUAAACUU